AUGUGGUUUAUGAAAGAAAGCAGUGAUGUGAAUUUCUCUGGUCCCGCAGUGAAGCCCUCCGUGUCUCUGCUGCCGCCCUCUUCUCUGCAGAUCUCUGGAGACUCAGCCGCACUGCUCUGCCUGCUCAGCUCUUACUCUCCACAGGGGGCGACGGUGAGCUGGACGCUGGACGGGUCAGAGGUCACCGAGGGGGUUCAGACCAGCGCAGAGAGCGAGCGGGACGGACGCUACAGCCGCAGCAGCGUCCUGAGCCUCAGCAAAGCACGCUGGGAAGGCGCGGAUCGCUUCGUCUGCAGAGUAAGACAUGACGGAGCUGAUCACGAGGCCUCGUUCCUCAAGAGCUCCCAGUGCUGAUGUUUCUCCGGUCCAGACGAGCCGUAUCUGAGCGUCCGGCAGGAUUCGCAGCAGUCACGUGAUUUACAGCUCAAUACUGAAGCAGUCUUUCAAUGUGCUGCCAUUGCUGUUCAUUCAAUAAAGCUUCUGAACGCGUUA
This is a non-coding RNA of Megalobrama amblycephala (Wuchang bream), 492 nucleotides long. NCBI's taxonomy places the organism in Eukaryota, Metazoa, Chordata, Actinopteri, Cypriniformes, Xenocyprididae. The record is from the annotation of a RefSeq genome assembly.